Molecule: long non-coding RNA, 389 nt
Organism: Olea europaea var. sylvestris
Lineage: Eukaryota; Viridiplantae; Streptophyta; Magnoliopsida; Lamiales; Oleaceae
Exons: 2
Source: RefSeq, a predicted model, not a curated record
GCUAUUGGAUGUGGUAUCAAGAAGCUUCAGAUUAUGCUUGCCAUUGUGAUCGACUUGGUAUCGGUCAAUACACUUAUCGAAGAGCGUCUCAAGGAAGCACCAAUAAAUGAGUAUGUCCAAAGUUAUGAUAUUGUGGCCUUCAAUAAAAUAUAAUUCACUGAUACAUUCACCAAUUGGGAAUGUGCAAUCGAACGUUUGGAGUGUAGGUUCUGUUUUGCAUUUAUGGUCGAAGUUUUUCCAUUGCCAUUUUAAAUUGUGUUCCGUUUAUGGCUAUAUGAAUUUUCCAGACUCGUACAAUUCGAAUGUGGACUUGGCAAUAUGUCCAAUAUCAUUGUCGUGUGACAUUAAAUUAUUGUUUCAUUAUCUUUUGUUGGAAUUUUCAUUUAGUA